GGCUUCGACGGGGGUGUUGAAGCAGGAAUAGCGGGCGGAAGUGAGGACGCUUCCUUAAAAGCCUCAAAUGUUUAUAAAUUAAACAACAACAAUUAUUCUUUACAGGCUGCCUAAUUAGGCUGGCCCGUCCUACCUGAGAGUACCACGGCUCGGGAUUAGGGCGUCGAUUUUGUGGUGAACGUCACAGGCAAAGAGUUGCGUCUGUGAUGUAUUAUGACUCUACUAAAGCAAUUAGCCUGUUUGUCGGCGAAUUGUGGAGGGAAUGAAAAAAGAUAAACUACGCCCGUAGAGGUUCUUGUGAAUAUGCUUUCGGACAGGGGUUCAACUCCCCUCGUCUCCACCA
Molecule: transfer-messenger RNA, 343 nt
Filed under: uncultured Butyricicoccus sp.
Lineage: Bacteria; Bacillati; Bacillota; Clostridia; Eubacteriales; Butyricicoccaceae
Rfam family: transfer-messenger RNA
About the family: Bacterial tmRNA, also known as 10Sa RNA or SsrA, is named for its dual tRNA and mRNA-like properties.
Source: RNAcentral